CUACCACUGAGCCACAACCCCAGCCCAGCAGUUUAAAUAUUGAUAAUUAUUUUUUAUCAAAUUAACCUUGUGUUAAAUAGGACCAAAAACUUGUCAAAACUACAAACCAAAAGCUUUUAUACUAGAUCACUACUGACUUUGUUGUUCAAAAUUUAACAUAUAGAUAUUGUAGCUGUGAAUAAUUUCAAAUGGGAAAGAAGUGUGAAGCAUGUGUUUUAUUCACAUUAAUAAUAGUUUACUAUUUGUUUCUGGUUUGGGAAAAGAAGACUUAUUAUUUUAUAGAAAAUUAUGUCAAAAUCUAGCUAGUUACCUGCAUGCCAUGGCACAAACCUCUAAUCCAGCAACUUGGGAGACCUGUGGGUAAUAUUGCAAGUUUGAAUCCAGCCUGGGCAAUUUAUGGAGACCCUGUCUCAAAAUCAAAAAAGGGCUGGAAAUGUAAGCUCAGUGGUAGAGCACCCAAUCCAGUAGCCUGAAAUAAUUGCCACAGUUUCUGGAUCAUAAGUAAGGAAGGAACCUGGGUAGUUCUGGAUCAGUAUCUCAUGACUUUGCAGUUAUGCCAUCACCAUGGCUACAGUAUCAUCUGAGGGAUCAGGAGGGGAGAAUCUGCUUUCAAGCUCAGAGUAAUUGUCAUACCCGAGUGCCCUCUUGACAUAGUUGCAGGCUUCUACCACAUUAACCCAGGUGCACCCAAGAUAGAGAUUUGGUGCCUGCAGAAGACAUACGUGUUCAUCAGUCACUCCCCUCUCAUGUGUUUCUGGGCCAAACCUUCCUGUUAGGAAUGACCUCCAGAACAAGACAGAACCUCUGAAAGCCUCUGAUCAGUUGCUUAGGAAACAGAGUCUUUAAGCAUUGUGACCAGCAGGUCUUGAGUCGGCCUUAAAUGUAUACUGACCAAAAAAACCACAGUAAUCACAUACAAAAAAUCUGACUUUUUCAAAAGAAGGAAAGUAGAAAAUACUUUAAAAUGAAUAAAAGGGAAGAUGCACAAGUCUCCAUUAACACACUUGAUGGUAAAACCUCCCCAGUGUUUGCUUUUGGGUUAUUUUGUGUGCUGGGCAUGGAACCCAGGGCUUUGUACAUGCAGCAGAUGCUCUACUACUGAGCUCUAAAGAGAAGAAAAUAAUGAUCAGAAACAUCAAAAUACCAAUAACCUGUGGAAAGGAGGACUUUGUGAUCAGAAAAGUGUUCAGAGGGGAAGGAAAGUGAGGGCCAUGCUGUAUUUACUGAUCUAAGUGUUGCUUUGUGAUCAUAAAUUUUACCUUUCUAUGUACCUUGUUUCUGAUAUAGCUCGUGAUUUUUUUUCUUAAAAUUCAGAAAAGUUCCCAAGGCGAAGGAGAAAGUGAUUUUUGUUGGUCAUAUGUUGGACUUAGUUUUUCAAGAGUUGAUUGUGUCUUGCCCAAAUAUUCAAAAUAGUCUUGAAAAAACAAUGACAGGUACCAUACUUUCUAAUUUCAAAACAAUGUGGUGCUGGCAUAUGAAGUAGGAUAGAAAUCCUACAGGCAAUGAAGUAGGAUAGAAAUCCCAGAAAUAAACCCUCACAUUUACUGUCAGAUGACUUUUCUCCAAGGGCACUGUAGACAGGGAAAGGUUGAUCUCUUCUGCAGUAGGAAACUGGAUAUCCAUGUGCAGAAGUGUGAAGUCGAACCCUUACUGUCCUCCAUAUUUUAAAAAAAAAAUUAACUCAAUGGAUUAGAAAUAUAAAUUUGAGACCCAAAACUACACAAUUUCUAGAAGAAAACAGGGAAAGCUUUAGCAGCAAUUUGCUUGCAGUAAUACCAGAAGCACAGGCAACAAAAGGCAAAGAGAAAAGUGGGCUUACAUAAAACUUCUGUGUAUUAAAGGACACAAUAAAAUGAAAUGAUAAUCUGUGGAAUGGGAGAAAAUAUUUGCAAAAUCUGAUGGGGAUCAUGUCCCAGAACAUGUGAAGAACUUAGAACAACAAAAUGGCCUAUUUAUGGGCAAAGGGAGCUGGGUGCAGUGGUGUAUACCUGAAGUCCCAGGUUGGGAGGCUGAGGCAGGAGGGUCACUUAAGCCAAGGAGUCUGGGGCCAACCUGGGAAACCUAGUGAGACUCUGUCUCGCAAGGAAAAGGUGGGUGGGGGGGACGGUUUAUUACACAUUUCUCCAAAGAAGAUAUAUAAAUGGACAAUAAGCUUAUGAAAAUUUGCUCAACAUCACAUAAUCAGAAAUGCAAAUUGAAAGCAUGAUCAUCUCAUAUCAGGAUGGCUGGUCAAAAAUUACAAGUGGUGACAAGGAUGUGAGAUAAUUGGGCCCCUUAUACACGGGUGAGAAAAUAAAAUGGUACAACCAUUAUGGAAAACAGUAUAG
Molecule: long non-coding RNA, 2327 nt
Filed under: Marmota monax (woodchuck)
Lineage: Eukaryota; Metazoa; Chordata; Mammalia; Rodentia; Sciuridae
Source: RNAcentral